UACGUAGGUGGCAAGCGUUGUUCGGAAUUACUGGGCGUAAAGGGCUCGUAGGCGGCCAACUAAGUCAGACGUGAAAUCCCUCGGCUUAACCGGGGAACUGCGUCUGAUACUGGAUGGCUUGAGUUCGGGAGAGGGAUGCGGAAUUCCAGGUGUAGCGGUGAAAUGCGUAGAUAUCUGGAGGAACACCGGUGGCGAAGGCGGCAUCCUGGACCGAAACUGACGCUGAGGAGCGAAAGCCAGGGGAGCAAACGGG
This 253-nucleotide ribosomal RNA is filed under the name uncultured bacterium. RNAcentral describes it as "partial 16S ribosomal RNA". It matches the Rfam family "Bacterial small subunit ribosomal RNA", at positions 524 to 776 of the family's 1533-position model. The record is from RNAcentral.